UACGUAGGGGGCAAGCGUUGUCCGGAUUUAUUGGGCGUAAAGAGCGUGUAGGCGGUCAGGUAGGUCUGCUGUGAAAACUCGAGGCUCAACCUCGAGACGCCGAUGGAAACCAUCUGACUAGAGUCCGGAAGAGGAGAGUGGAAUUCCUGGUGUAGCGGUGAAAUGCGCAGAUAUCGGAAGGAACAUCAGUGGCGAAAGCGGCUUCCUGGUCCAGAACCGACGUUCAGGCACGAAAGCGUGGGGAGCAAACAGG
RNAcentral lists this ribosomal RNA (253 nucleotides) under uncultured bacterium. RNAcentral describes it as "partial 16S ribosomal RNA". It matches the Rfam family "Bacterial small subunit ribosomal RNA", at positions 524 to 776 of the family's 1533-position model. The record is from RNAcentral.